RNAcentral lists this ribosomal RNA (253 nucleotides) under uncultured bacterium. RNAcentral describes it as "partial 16S ribosomal RNA". It matches the Rfam family "Bacterial small subunit ribosomal RNA", at positions 524 to 776 of the family's 1533-position model. The record is from RNAcentral.
UACGAAGGGGGCUAGCGUUGCUCGGAAUCACUGGGCGUAAAGCGCACGUAGGCGGCUUUCUAAGUCAGGGGUGAAAUCCUGGAGCUCAACUCCAGAACUGCCUUUGAUACUGGAGAGCUUGAGUCCGGGAGAGGUGAGUGGAACUCCGAGUGUAGAGGUGAAAUUCGUAGAUAUUCGGAAGAACACCAGUGGCGAAGGCGGCUCACUGGCCCGGUACUGACGCUGAGGCUCGAAAGCGUGGGGAGCGAACAGG